This 253-nucleotide ribosomal RNA is filed under the name uncultured bacterium. RNAcentral describes it as "partial 16S ribosomal RNA". It matches the Rfam family "Bacterial small subunit ribosomal RNA", at positions 524 to 776 of the family's 1533-position model. The record is from RNAcentral.
UACGAGGGGGGCGAGCGUUGUUCGGAAUUAUUGGGCGUAAAGGGCGCGUAGGCGGUCGGAUAAGUCUUGUGUGAAAUCUUCGGGCUCAACUCGAAGUCUGCACAGGAAACUAUCUGGCUUGAGUGUGGGAGAGGUGAGUGGAAUUCCUGGUGUAGCGGUGAAAUGCGUAGAUAUCAGGAGGAACACCAGUGGCGAAGGCGAGUCUCUGGACAUUUCCUGACGCUGAGGCACGAAAGCCAGGGGAGCAAACGGG